Molecule: ribosomal RNA, 386 nt
Filed under: Microbacterium sp. 3CBZ4
Lineage: Bacteria; Bacillati; Actinomycetota; Actinomycetes; Micrococcales; Microbacteriaceae
Description: bacterial SSU rRNA
Rfam family: Bacterial small subunit ribosomal RNA
Source: RNAcentral
GCGGAACCUGAUGCAGCAACGCCGCGUGAGGGAUGACGGCCUUCGGGUUGUAAACCUCUUUUAGCAGGGAAGAAGCGAGAGUGACGGUACCUGCAGAAAAAGCACCGGCUAACUACGUGCCAGCAGCCGCGGUAAUACGUAGGGUGCAAGCGUUAUCCGGAAUUAUUGGGCGUAAAGAGCUCGUAGGCGGUUUGUCGCGUCUGCCGUGAAAUCCUCAGGCUCAACCUGAGGCUUGCGGUGGGUACGGGCAGACUUGAGUGCGGUAGGGGAGAUUGGAAUUCCUGGUGUAGCGGUGGAAUGCGCAGAUAUCAGGAGGAACACCGAUGGCGAAGGCAGAUCUCUGGGCCGUAACUGACGCUGAGGAGCGAAAGGGUGGGGAGCAAACA